Molecule: ribosomal RNA, 327 nt
Filed under: Triticum aestivum (bread wheat)
Lineage: Eukaryota; Viridiplantae; Streptophyta; Magnoliopsida; Poales; Poaceae
Description: partial small subunit ribosomal RNA
Source: RNAcentral
AUGGUAUUGAUGUCCUCAUCAGUCAGCGAGCUUGCGCCGGCCGUCCUCGCCUUGGUCCCCAAGCGCCGGAGGCGUACGACGACCGUUGCGCAGGGCAUCCAUAACAGGGCCUGGGUGGGAGACAUCCAGGGUGCCUUGGGGCCGGCUGCGAUGGUUCAAUACAUCGAGCUUUGGCGCGCCCUGCAGCCCGUAACCCUAACUCUCGACCCCGACGUGUUACGCUGGAAGUGGACCGACUUGGGCAUCUACACUGCGAAUUCCUGCUACCGAGCCAUGUUCGCUGGCUCCACCAUCACGCCCAGCUCGAAACUCAUCUGGCGCACGUGG